Molecule: transfer RNA, 86 nt
Filed under: Helianthus annuus (common sunflower)
Lineage: Eukaryota; Viridiplantae; Streptophyta; Magnoliopsida; Asterales; Asteraceae
Also listed under: 1 other name
Description: tRNA-Leu
Rfam family: tRNA
About the family: Transfer RNA (tRNA) molecules are approximately 80 nucleotides in length. Their secondary structure includes four short double-helical elements and three loops (D, anti-codon, and T loops).
Source: RNAcentral
UGUCAGGAUGGCCGAGUGGUCUAAGGCGCCAGACUCAAGUUCUGGUCUUCGAGAGAGGGCGUGGGUUCAAAUCCCACUUCUGACAU